GUGAAGAACGUAGCGAAAUGCGAUAAGUAAUGUGAAUUGCAGAAUUCAGUGAAUCACCGAAUCUUUGAACGCACAUUGCGCCCGCCAGUAUUCUGGCGGGCAUGCCUGUUCGAGCGUCAUUUCAACCAUCAAGCCCCCGGCUUGUGUUGGGGACCUGCGGCUGCCGCAGGCCCUGAAAAGCAGUGGCGGGCUCGCUGUCACACCGAGCGUAGUAGCAUACAUCUCGCUCUGGGCGUGCUGCGGGUUCCGGCCGUUAAACCACCUUCAUAACCCAAGGUUGACCUCGGAUCAGGUAGGAAGACCCGCUGAACUUAAGCAUAUCAAUAAGCGGAGGA
RNAcentral lists this unclassified non-coding RNA (335 nucleotides) under soil metagenome. Its description in RNAcentral is "partial contains 5.8S ribosomal RNA, internal transcribed spacer 2, and large subunit ribosomal RNA". The stretch from base 2 to 119 matches the Rfam family "5.8S ribosomal RNA", at positions 37 to 154 of the family's 154-position model. The record is from RNAcentral.